GAUGAAGAACGUAGCGAAAUGCGAUACGUAGUGUGAAUUGCAGAAUUCCGUGAACCAUCAAAUCUUUGAACGCAUAUUGCGCUCGAGGCUUCGGCCGAGAGCAUGUCUGCCUCAGCGUCGGUAUUACCCAUCGCUUCUCAACCCCUGGUUGAUGCCUGCCUGCCUUUGCAGUUGGCUAGAAGCGGAUCUGGCUUUCCCAAUUGCCUUUGGUAGUUGGGUCAGCUGAAGCACAGAGGCUUGAGCAAGGACCCUUAUUGGGCUUCAACUGGAUAGGUAGAACUGGUCUUAGGACCAACUACACGAAGUUGUUGCUUGUGGUCUUUGUCUGGAGGCCAGCAGGAAACCUUUAUACCUUCGACCUGAGCUCAGGCAAGAUUACCCGCUGAACUUAAGCAUAUCAAUAAGCGGAGGA
This 412-nucleotide unclassified non-coding RNA is filed under the name soil metagenome. RNAcentral describes it as "partial contains 5.8S ribosomal RNA, internal transcribed spacer 2, and large subunit ribosomal RNA". The stretch from base 1 to 120 matches the Rfam family "5.8S ribosomal RNA", at positions 35 to 154 of the family's 154-position model. The record is from RNAcentral.